GGGGAAUAUUGGACAAUGGGCGAAAGCCUGAUCCAGCAAUGCCGCGUGUGUGAAGAAGGCCUUAGGGUUGUAAAGCACUUUCAGUGGGGAGGAAGUUGUAGAUGUUAAUACCAUUUGCAAUUGACGUUACCCACAGAAGAAGCACCGGCUAACUCUGUGCCAGCAGCCGCGGUAAUACAGAGGGUGCGAGCGUUAAUCGGAAUUACUGGGCGUAAAGGGUGUGUAGGUGGUUAGGUAAGUUAGAUGUGAAAUCCCCGGGCUUAACCUGGGAACUGCGUUUAAAACUGCUUGGCUAGAGUAUUGCAGAGGAUAGUGGAAUUUCCAGUGUAGCGGUGAAAUGCGUAGAUAUUGGAAGGAACACCAGUGGCGAAGGCGACUAUCUGGGCAAAUACUGACACUGAGACACGAAAGCAUGGGGAGCAAAC
Molecule: ribosomal RNA, 425 nt
Filed under: uncultured bacterium
Lineage: Bacteria
Description: bacterial SSU rRNA
Rfam family: Bacterial small subunit ribosomal RNA
Source: RNAcentral